GAUGAACGCUGACAGAAUGCUUAACACAUGCAAGUCUACUUGAAUUUGGGUUUUUUAACUUAGAUUUGGGUGGCGGACGGGUGAGUAACGUGUAAAGAACUUGCCUCACAGCUAGGGACAACAUUUGGAAACGAAUGCUAAUACCUGAUAUUAUGAUUAUAAGGCAUCUUAGAAUUAUGAAAGCUAUAUGCGCUGUGAGAGAGCUUUGCGUCCCAUUAGCUAGUUGGUGAGGUAACGGCUCACCAAGGCGAUGAUGGGUAGCCGGCCUGAGAGGGUGAACGGCCACAAGGGGACUGAGACACGGCACUUACUCCUACGGGAGGCAGCAGUGGGGAAUAUUGGACAAUGGACCAAGAGUCUGAUCCAGCGAUUCUGUGUGCACGAUGACGUUUUUCGGAAUGUAAAGUGCUUUCAGUUGGGAAGAAAAAAAUGACGGUACCAACAGAAGAAGUGACGGCUAAAUACGUG
RNAcentral lists this ribosomal RNA (468 nucleotides) under uncultured bacterium. RNAcentral describes it as "partial 16S ribosomal RNA". It matches the Rfam family "Bacterial small subunit ribosomal RNA", at positions 28 to 507 of the family's 1533-position model. The record is from RNAcentral.